GUGGGGGUGUCAGAUUUAAUGAGUUGAUUUUAAGCGUCAAAUAUAGGAUUAGUUCCUCUCUCAUU
Molecule: transfer RNA, 65 nt
Filed under: Scutogyrus longicornis
Lineage: Eukaryota; Metazoa; Platyhelminthes; Monogenea; Dactylogyridea; Ancyrocephalidae
Description: tRNA-Leu
Source: RNAcentral